Molecule: non-coding RNA, 2884 nt
Organism: Oryza sativa Japonica Group (Japanese rice)
Lineage: Eukaryota; Viridiplantae; Streptophyta; Magnoliopsida; Poales; Poaceae
Source: RefSeq, a predicted model, not a curated record
UGCUGCUGUUGCUUUGCUUUCUUCUUCUUCUUCUUCUUCUUCCUCUGACGUUUCCCCGCCCCGCCACGGAUCCGAGCUCUUCUCAAAACCCUAGCUCCCCGAACCUUCUCCGCCCCGGCGGCAAUGGAGGACGAGGAGAUGGAGAAGAAGGUGCACCAGUACCUGCAGCGGAAGGGCUUCCGCGUGGCGGGGCUCGCGCUGCUCGAGGACCGCACCCGCCUCUCCGCCACCACCACCACCACCACCACCGCCUCCUCCUCCUCCCACUCCCUCUCCGACGCCGCGCUCUCCAGGUCAGAAAACGAUCCAGCGAGGUACUAUGAUGGCUAUAGUAAACUAAGAACAUGGGCAUACAGUUAUCUUGAUCACUACAAGAUGGAGCAUUUACUUGAAGAGUCUUCUUUCGUGUAUUCUCUUCCAUCCAUCCAGUGCUGCCCACCUUCUGGAGAGCAAAAUAGUAUUCCUAUAAACAUCUGUACUUCCUACACAGGCAGAAAGUAUGUUUUGCUUCCUGCGAUUUGUAAUCAUGAAUUACUCCGCAUUCUUUAUCCACUAUUUUUCCACUGCUUCAUGGAUUUAGUGGCAGAGGGACAUACACAGGAAGCUUGCUCAUUUUUCCACACAUUUCGUGAAGACCAUGAACACUCGAGGGAUCUCAAGAAGCUGGAAAGCAUCCUUUCUCCUUUACAUUUGGAACAAAUGGAAGUGGCUCGAUCUUUAAGGCAGAAUAAAUUCAGAAUUAAGCUAUGUGAGUAUUCAUAUGAAUUGCUUCUCCAGUAUCUCCACAAAACACAAGCUCUUGUGGUGCUUGGAAUAAUCAAUGAACGCAUAGAUUUUCAAGUAUCCCCUGGGCAGUCUCCAUUAAUCAUUGAUGACUCGGAUGCUGUUGUUCUGAUUGGAACUAGCAAGGACUUGACAAAACAGAUAAAUCAGAAGGAGGUGCAUUGGGGGAUACUUGAAGAUUCACUUGAAGAACGUAUGGAGAAGGCAAUUUCAGAUUCUGAUAAAACUGAAAUAGAAAGCAAGGAUGCAGACACAGAAGACAACAAGAAAAGAUCCUCAGAAGGUGGAAAGCAGGGUGGCUCACAUAAAAAGAUCAAAAAGGACAAGUUUGUAGGAACCACAGGGAAAAACAUGAAAUCUGAAACUAGCAUGGUUUCUAUAGCACCACGAGUUAAACCAGAGCUAACGCUUCCAAUGACGUCUGUUGAAGUUGAGCAGUCAAUUCUUGAGGACUUGCGAAACCGUGCACAAUUGAAUAGCUUGUCAUUGCCAUCUGUUAGCUUCUAUACAUUCCUUAAUACACAUAAUGGGUUAAAUUGCUCAUCGAUUUCGCAUGAUGGUUCAUUGGUCGUUGGUGGAUUCGCUGAUUCAUCAGUGAAGGUUUGGGAUAUGUCAAAGAUUGGCCAGCCUUCCAAAGCAUCUUGUUCACAAGGCGAGAAUGGACCCUCCCAGAUUGAGCGGGUAUCGACAUCAGAUGAAGCGCGUAAAUCCUGUACAUUAUUCCAAGGUCAUUCUGGACCAGUUUAUUCUGCCAUGUUUAGCCCAAUUGGGGACUUCCUCUUGUCAUCAUCUGCAGACUCAACAAUUCGCUUAUGGAACACCAAGUUGAAUGCUAAUCUUGUUUGCUACAAAGGACACAACUACCCUGUUUGGGAUGUCCAAUUUAGUCCAGUUGGACAUUACUUUGCUAGUGCUUCGCAUGACAGGACUGCUAGAAUCUGGUCCAUGGAUAAAAUCCAGCCUUUGAGAAUAAUGGCUGGGCAUUUAUCUGAUGUUGAUUGUGUGCAAUGGCAUGUCAACUGCAACUACAUUGCCACUGGCUCUAGUGACAAAACAGUAAGACUAUGGGAUGUUCAAACAGGUGAAUGUAUAAGGAUGUUUAUUGGCCAUAGGAGUAUGGUUUUAUCAUUGGCAAUGUCUCCUGAUGGGCGAUACAUGGCCUCUGGAGAUGAAGAUGGAACAAUCAUGAUGUGGGAUAUAUCUUCUGGUCGUUGUGUUUCACCGCUAGUGGGACAUAACUCUUGUGUGUGGUCGCUUGCUUACAGCUGUGAAGGGGCAUUACUUGCAUCUGGAUCAGCCGACUGCACUGUAAAACUAUGGGAUGUCGCCUCCAGCACUAAGACUCUUAAGAUGGAUGAUACCAAAGGUGGUUCAGCUAACCGACUGAGGAUGCUGAAAGCCCUCCCUACAAAAUCAACCCCUGUUUACACUCUGCAGUUUUCUCGGAGGAAUCUUUUAUUUGCGGCUGGUGCUCCCUCACUUGGCUCCUAAGCUUCUCUUGUCUCAGUGAGAGAAGUGAAUGCCUAGAUCAAUGCUUGGUGGAAGUGGAACUAGAACCUUAGAAACUUUCAACUGUUUGCUAGAAUAUGUGUGUGCACCAUUUAUCCAAAUCCUUGUGUUGGCCAUACUCGCCAGAAAGACUGGACACACCAAACCACAUAAAAGCCUUGCAGGAGCUACCAUUGCUCUCUGAACAACACACAAGAAAGAUGAUGGUAGGAAGAUCAGAAGGGGUCACUUUUUUUGGGCUCGAUGACAUGAGUGGACAAAUCUACCCAAGCUAAGGAAGGGAUCCAUGCCGUCCAUCUUCAACAACACGCAAAUGAUCAAGAAAACAUGGCCGAAGUUGCUGCCCAACAAACCCUAGCUAGCGAGUUUCCUUGGAUGAAAGAAUAUUAGCACAUCAUCAUCAGAAAGCGAGCUUUGUCAUAUGCCCUAGCUACAAGACUAUAGGGAUAUGGACGCAUCUCACUUCACUUUACGGGUACCCAUUGUCACACACCAUAUACACAAUAAUAUAGGAUAAGUGAAUUUUAGUUGAUUUUGCUUAACUAGAUGGAUGGUAAGACUUUCUAGCAUUGUCCACAUACAUAUAGAUGUU